CAAGGGGGAUCUAUAAACGUAUGCCUGUGGAAAACAGCAAGAGGACAAAGGACCCUUUCUAGUUAAAGCAAACUGCCCUGAGCUAUAGUUAUUUUACACAGAGAUGCAUUGGUCAGAGACAUUUUAAAGUCACAGCAUCCUAGCUGCCUUUCUGAUUGACCAGAACUAUUUGGAAAAUACGAAACUGGGCAUGAGACUGAGACUCUGAAGCAACCGAAAAACUCAGUGCCCCAUUCUUCCAAAUGAUGUUGAGAUGCGCUUAGUAAGUCCUGCUUUUGAGAUCGGUAGUUGGAAAGCAGCACAGCACGUCGACAGCCCAGUUCAUAUUCAUGACUUGCACUGGUGUGCCAUUCUGGACAGGCCCCUGCCUGGCACCCACACACUCCUGCUACAGCUGCUACAGACUGGGCCAUAAAAGACUUAAAAUAACUUGAAGAAUUGUCAAUUACAUUCAACUGUCAAGUUCUGCAACCGAGCCAUUCAUCAUGGAACUGACUUAGUCCAUUUUUGGCUUGCAGGGAGAUUCAAUCACAUCUUUCUAAAGUGUAAAAGUGUCCAACUAUAGUCGUCCAGCACU
Molecule: long non-coding RNA, 577 nt
Organism: Erpetoichthys calabaricus (reedfish)
Lineage: Eukaryota; Metazoa; Chordata; Cladistia; Polypteriformes; Polypteridae
Exons: 4
Source: RefSeq, a predicted model, not a curated record